AGUGCCGUCGAUACCUGUAGGCUAGGAUUCGUUGCUGUGGGGUGGAAAUGUUUGUGUAGCGGUGAAUGCUUAGAAUAUCACACAGAAUAUCGAUUGCGAAGGCAGCUCACAAAGCCAAGAUGACGCUGAGCACGAAGUGUGGGGAUCAAACAGAUUAGAUACCAUGGUAGUCCACACUGUAAACGAUGAUAACUCGCUGCCGGCGAUACACAGUCGGUGGUCAAGCGAAAGCGAUAAGUUAUCCACCUGGGGAGUACGACCGCAAGGUUGAAACUCAAAGGAAUUGACGGGGGCCCGCACAAGCGGAGGAACAUGUGGUUUAAUUCGAUGAUACGCGAGGAACCUUACCCGGGCUCGAACGGUUCAUGAAUAUACAAGAGAUUGUAUAGUCCUUCGGGACAUGUAUCGAGGUGCUGCAUGGUUGUCGUCAGCUCGUGCCGUGAGGUGUCGGCUUAAGUGCCAUAACGAGCGCAACCCUUGUCAUUAGUUACCAUCAGGUCAAGCUGGGGACUCUAAUGAGACUGCCACCGUAAGGUGUGAGGAAGGGGGGGAUGACGUCAAAUCAGCACGGCCCUUAUGUCCGGGGCGACACACGUGUUACAAUGGGGGGUACAGAGGGCAGCCAUCCGGCGACGGAGCGCUAAUCUCAAAAACCCUUCUCAGUUCGGAUUGGAGUCUGCAACUCGA
This 687-nucleotide ribosomal RNA is filed under the name uncultured bacterium. RNAcentral's name for it is "bacterial SSU rRNA". It matches the Rfam family "Bacterial small subunit ribosomal RNA", at positions 620 to 1315 of the family's 1533-position model. The record is from RNAcentral.